UACGUAGGGGGCAAGCGUUGUCCGGAAUGAUUGGGCGUAAAGGGCGCGUAGGCGGCUUUGUAAGUCUGGAGUGGAAGUCCUAUUUUCAAGGUAGGAAUUGCUUUGGAAACUAUGAAGCUUGAGUGCAGGAGAGGUUAUCGGAAUUCCCGGUGUAGCGGUGAAAUGCGUAGAGAUCGGGAGGAACACCAGUGGCGAAGGCGGGUAACUGGACUGCAACUGACGCUGAGGCGCGAAAGUGUGGGGAGCAAACAGG
This 253-nucleotide ribosomal RNA is filed under the name uncultured bacterium. RNAcentral describes it as "partial 16S ribosomal RNA". It matches the Rfam family "Bacterial small subunit ribosomal RNA", at positions 524 to 776 of the family's 1533-position model. The record is from RNAcentral.